AGAGUUUGAUCAUGGCUCAGAACGAACGCUGGCGACGCGUCUUAAGCAUGCAAGUCGAACGGCAACACGGGGCAACCUGGUGGCGAGUGGCGAACGGGUGAGUAACACGUAGGUGAACUGCCCUUGGGCUGGGGAUAGCCUGUGGAAACACAGGGUAAUACCGAAUGAGGUCCGGAGAUUUUGAUCACCGGAUGAAAGGGGCUAAGGCCUCGCCUGAGGAUGUGCCUGCGGCUGAUUAGCUAGUUGGUGAGGUAAUGGCUCACCAAGGCGACGAUCAGUAGCCGGCCUGAGAGGGUGGACGGCCACACUGGGACUGAGAUACGGCCCAGACUCCUACGGGAGGCAGCAGCUAAGAAUCUUCCGCAAUGGACGAAAGUCUGACGGAGCGACGUCGCGUGGGUGAUGAAGGCGGAAACGUUGUAAAGCCCUUUUAUAGACGAGGAAUAAGCAUGGGAGGGAAUGCCCGUGUGAUGACGGUAGUCUGUGAAUAAGCCCCGGCUAAUUACGUGCCAGCAGCCGCGGUAACACGUAUGGGGCGAGCGUUGUUCGGAAUUAUUGGGCGUAAAGGGUAUGCAGGCGGUUUGCCAAGUCUGGUGUGUAAGACCUCAGCUUAACUGAGGGAACGCGCCGGAAACUGGCAGACUAGAGUACAGGAAGGGGAGUUGGAAUUCCAGGUGUAGGGGUGAAAUCUGUAGAUAUCUGGAAGAACAUCAGUGGCGAAGGCGAACUCCUGGCCAUGUACUGACGCUGAGAUACGAAAGCGUGGGGAGCAAACAGGAUUAGAUACCCUGGUAGUCCACGCCGUAAACGAUGUGCACUAGGUGUUGGGGUUUUUGACCUCAGUGCCGUAGCUAACGCGUUAAGUGCACCGCCUGGGGAGUAUGCUCGCAAGGGUGAAACUCAAAGGAAUUGACGG
RNAcentral lists this ribosomal RNA (916 nucleotides) under uncultured bacterium. RNAcentral describes it as "bacterial SSU rRNA". It matches the Rfam family "Bacterial small subunit ribosomal RNA", at positions 8 to 916 of the family's 1533-position model. The record is from RNAcentral.